RNAcentral lists this transfer RNA (82 nucleotides) under Phlebopus portentosus. RNAcentral describes it as "tRNA-Leu (AAG) (tRNA-Leu-AAG-1-1)". It matches the Rfam family "tRNA". Rfam says of the family: Transfer RNA (tRNA) molecules are approximately 80 nucleotides in length. Their secondary structure includes four short double-helical elements and three loops (D, anti-codon, and T loops). The record is from RNAcentral. Lineage: Eukaryota; Fungi; Basidiomycota; Agaricomycetes; Boletales; Boletinellaceae.
GGUCAGAUGGCCGAGCGGUCCAAGGCGCCAGACUAAGGAUCUGGUCUCGACAGAGGCGAGGGUUCGAAUCCCUCUCUGGCCA